Molecule: ribosomal RNA, 460 nt
Filed under: uncultured bacterium
Lineage: Bacteria
Description: partial 16S ribosomal RNA
Rfam family: Bacterial small subunit ribosomal RNA
Source: RNAcentral
CCUACGGGGGGCAGCAGUGAGGAAUAUUGGUCAAUGGCCGUAAGGCUGAACCAGCCAAGUCGCGUGAAGGAAGAAGGAUCUAUGGUUUGUAAACUUCUUUUAUAGGGGAAUAAAGGUAUCCACGUGUGGAUAUUUGCAUGUACCCUAUGAAUAAGCAUCGGCUAACUCCGUGCCAGCAGCCGCGGUAAUACGGAGGAUGCGAGCGUUAUCCGGAUUUAUUGGGUUUAAAGGGUGCGUAGGUGGUUGUUUAAGUCAGCGGUGAAAGUUUGUGGCUCAACCAUAAAAUUGCCGUUGAUACUGGAAGACUUGAGUGUGUUUGAGGUAGGCGGAAUGUGUGGUGUAGCGGUGAAAUGCAUAGAUAUCACGCAGAACUCCGAUUGCGAAGGCAGCUUACUAAGCCAUAACUGACACUGAAGCACGAAAGCGUGGGGAGCAAACAGGAUUAGAUACCCCAGUAGUC